Molecule: unclassified non-coding RNA, 246 nt
Filed under: Neopaxillus plumbeus
Lineage: Eukaryota; Fungi; Basidiomycota; Agaricomycetes; Agaricales
Description: internal trascribed spacer 2
Source: RNAcentral
GGUAUUCUGAGGAGCAUGCCUGUUUGAGUGUCAUUAAAUUCUCAACCUUACUGGCUUUUUCAGCUGGUUUGGCUUGGAUGUGGGGAUGUUGCAGGCUUUCACAAGCCAGCUCCCCUGAAAUGCAUUAGCAGUACCCUUGUGGUAAACGGCUAUUGGUGUGAUAGCUAUCUACAUCAUUAGACGGUCCACCUCAUUAGGGUUGUGCUGCUUCUAACAGUCCUUUUGGACAAGUCUUUAUGACCAUCU